CCUACGGGCGGCAGCAGUGGGGAAUAUUGCACAAUGGGGGAAACCCUGAUGCAGCGAAGCCGCGUGAGUGAAGAAGGAAUUCGUUAUGUAAAGCUCUAUCAGCAGGGAAGAAAAUGACGGUACCUGAGUAAGAAGCCCCGGCUAACUACGUGCCAGCAGCCGCGGUAAUACGUAGGGGGCAAGCGUUAGCCGGAUUUACUGGGUGUAAAGGGAGCGUAGACGGCAGUGCAAGUCUGGAGUGAAAGGCGGGGGCUCAACCCCCGGACUGCUCUGGAAACUGUACGGAUGGAGUGCAGGAGAGGUAGGUGGAAGUCCUAGUGUAGCGGUGAAAGGCGUAGAGAUUAGGAGGAACACCAGUGGCGAAGGUGGCAUACUGGACUGUGACUGACGUUGAGGCUCGAAAGCGGGGGGAGCAAACAGGAUUAGAUACCCCAGUAGUC
Molecule: ribosomal RNA, 440 nt
Filed under: uncultured bacterium
Lineage: Bacteria
Description: partial 16S ribosomal RNA
Rfam family: Bacterial small subunit ribosomal RNA
Source: RNAcentral